Molecule: ribosomal RNA, 301 nt
Filed under: uncultured Azoarcus sp.
Lineage: Bacteria; Pseudomonadati; Pseudomonadota; Betaproteobacteria; Rhodocyclales; Zoogloeaceae
Description: partial 16S ribosomal RNA
Rfam family: Bacterial small subunit ribosomal RNA
Source: RNAcentral
UUCACACUGUGUGACGGCGGCCACGGUAAGUGAGUGGGUGGGAAGGUUAAUCGGUGUUACGUGGCGGAUAUCGCGCUUUGGUAGCUAAUUAAGUCAAAUGUGACAGACCCGAGCGUAACGUGGGAAUUGCAUUCGAUACUGGUUGGCUAGAGUAUGAGAGAGGAUUGUAGAAUUCCAGGUGUAGCGGUGAAAUGCGUAGAGAUCUGGAGGAAUACCGAUGGCGAAGGCAGCCAUCUGGCCUAAUACUGACACUGAGGUGCGAAAGCAUGGGGAGCAAACAGGAUUAGAUACCCCAGUAGUC